This 397-nucleotide ribosomal RNA is filed under the name uncultured bacterium. Its description in RNAcentral is "partial 16S ribosomal RNA". It matches the Rfam family "Bacterial small subunit ribosomal RNA", at positions 523 to 918 of the family's 1533-position model. The record is from RNAcentral.
AUACGUAGGGGGCAAGCGUUAUCCGGAUUUACUGGGUGUAAAGGGCGCGUAGGCGGGAUGGCAAGUCAGAUGUGAAAUCUAUGGGCUCAACCCAUAAACUGCAUUUGAAACUGUCGUUCUUGAGUAUCGGAGAGGCAAGCGGAAUUCCUAGUGUAGCGGUGAAAUGCGUAGAUAUUAGGAGGAACACCAGUGGCGAAGGCGGCUUUCUGGACUGUAACUGACACUGGGGCAUGAAAGCGUGGGUAGCAAACAGGAUUAGAUCCCCUGGUAGUCCACGCCGUAAACGAUGGGUUCUAGGUGUAGGAGGUAUCGACCCCUUCUGUGCCGUCGUUAACACAAUAAGUACCCCGCCUGGGGAGUACGGUCGCAAGACUAAAACUCAAAUGAAUUGACGGGG